GGGCGUUUCGUACAGAGGGAAGUACACCGGUCUCCAAAACCGGAAAGGUGGGCUCGAGACCUGCAACGCCUGCCA
This 75-nucleotide transfer RNA is filed under the name Dialister succinatiphilus. RNAcentral's name for it is "tRNA-Trp". It matches the Rfam family "tRNA". From Rfam's summary of the family: Transfer RNA (tRNA) molecules are approximately 80 nucleotides in length. Their secondary structure includes four short double-helical elements and three loops (D, anti-codon, and T loops). RNAcentral also lists the same sequence under 1 other name. Lineage: Bacteria; Bacillati; Bacillota; Negativicutes; Veillonellales; Veillonellaceae. The record is from RNAcentral.